RNAcentral lists this ribosomal RNA (498 nucleotides) under uncultured bacterium. Its description in RNAcentral is "partial 16S ribosomal RNA". It matches the Rfam family "Bacterial small subunit ribosomal RNA", at positions 30 to 523 of the family's 1533-position model. The record is from RNAcentral.
AUUGAACGCUGGCGGCAUGCCUUACACAUGCAAGUCGAACGGUAACAGGUCUUCGGAUGCUGACGAGUGGCGAACGGGUGAGUAAUACAUCGGAACGUGCCUAGUAGUGGGGGAUAACUACUCGAAAGAGUGGCUAAUACCGCAUGAGAUCUACGGAUGAAAGCAGGGGAUCGCAAGACCUUGUGCUACUAGAGCGGCCGAUGGCAGAUUAGGUAGUUGGUGGGAUAAAAGCUUACCAAGCCGACGAUCUGGAGCUGGUCUGAGAGGACGAGCAGCCACACUGGGACUGAGACACGGCCCAGAAUCCUACGGGAGGCAGCAGUGGGGAAUUUUGGACAAUGGGCGAAAGCCUGAUCCAGCAAUGCCGCGUGCAGGAUGAAGGCCUUCGGGUUGUAAACUGCUUUUGUACGGAACGAAAAGCCCCGGGUUAAUACCCUGGGGUCAUGACGGUACCGUAAGAAUAAGCACCGGCUAACUACGUGCCAGCCGCCGCCGUAA